CUACGGGUGGCUGCAGUGGGGAAUAUUGGACAAUGGGGGGAACCCUGAUCCAGCCAUGCCGCGUGUGUGAAGAAGGCCCUCGGGUUGUAAAGCACUUUCAGUGAGGAAGAACGCCUGGUGGUUAAUACCCAUCAGGAAAGACAUCACUCACAGAAGAAGCACCGGCUAACUCCGUGCCAGCAGCCGCGGUAAUACGGAGGGUGCGAGCGUUAAUCGGAAUUACUGGGCGUAAAGCGCGCGUAGGUGGCUUGAUAAGCCGGUUGUGAAAGCCCCGGGCUCAACCUGGGAACGGCAUCCGGAACUGUCAAGCUAGAGUGCAGGAGAGGAAGGUAGAAUUCCCGGUGUAGCGGUGAAAUGCGUAGAGAUCGGGAGGAAUACCAGUGGCGAAGGCGGCCUUCUGGACUGACACUGACACUGAGGUGCGAAAGCGUGGGUAGCAAACAGGAUUAGAUACCCGUGUAGUC
Molecule: ribosomal RNA, 464 nt
Filed under: Vreelandella stevensii
Lineage: Bacteria; Pseudomonadati; Pseudomonadota; Gammaproteobacteria; Oceanospirillales; Halomonadaceae
Description: partial 16S ribosomal RNA
Rfam family: Bacterial small subunit ribosomal RNA
Source: RNAcentral